This 376-nucleotide long non-coding RNA is filed under the name Carica papaya (papaya). Its description in RNAcentral is "long non-coding RNA (CPAP_LNC013024)". The record is from RNAcentral. Lineage: Eukaryota; Viridiplantae; Streptophyta; Magnoliopsida; Brassicales; Caricaceae.
GGCGCUGUCUACACAUGCUUCCCAUCAUGCAUAGAUGGGCGGGCACGCGGUAGGCCUGCGCACAAAAGGCCUACACACGGUAGGCUAGUAUGCAGUAAGCUUGUGCACGGUAGGCUUACAUGUGCAACAGGCUAAGCCUGCGAUGCAUAGCAGGUUGGGGUAGCGAGUGCUCCCUCGGGCAACACGCCCUGCCCCUUUAGUCACCGUGCACCAUCUUCGAGCAGUGUGUUGCCGUCCUUGGGUGUCGUACCACUGUCAUUUGGGUGGCGUGCCUCUAAUUUUUACACUGUCAUCAUGUCACAUUGUUUAUUCGUCGGUCAUCACAUCUCAUCGUUUAUCUGAGGAGUUUCUAUUUUUCUCCUACCUGGUCUGAAAA